Molecule: ribosomal RNA, 206 nt
Filed under: uncultured bacterium
Lineage: Bacteria
Description: partial 16S ribosomal RNA
Rfam family: Bacterial small subunit ribosomal RNA
Source: RNAcentral
UGCGUAGGUGGCCAGGUAAGUUUGGUGUGAAAGCUCGGAGCUUAACUCCGAAAAGUCAUUGAAUACUAUCUGGCUGGAGGGUCGGAGGGGAGACUGGAAUUCUCGGUGUAGCAGUGAAAUGCGUAGAUAUCGAGAGGAACACCAGUGGCGAAGGCGAGUCUCUGGACGACACCUGACACUGAGGCACGAAAGCGGGGGAGCAAACG